RNAcentral lists this ribosomal RNA (618 nucleotides) under uncultured Neisseria sp. RNAcentral's name for it is "bacterial SSU rRNA". It matches the Rfam family "Bacterial small subunit ribosomal RNA", at positions 653 to 1272 of the family's 1533-position model. The record is from RNAcentral. Lineage: Bacteria; Pseudomonadati; Pseudomonadota; Betaproteobacteria; Neisseriales; Neisseriaceae.
AGAGGGAGGUAGAAUUCCACGUGUAGCGGUGAAAUGCGUAGAGAUCUGGAGGAAUACCGGUGGCGAAGGCAGCCUCCUGGGAUAACACUGACGUUCAUGCCCGAAAGCGUGGGUAGCAAACAGGAUUAGAUACCCUGGUAGUCCACGCCCUAAACGAUGUCGAUUAGCUGUUGGGCAGCAUGACUGCUUAGUAGCGAAGCUAACGCGUGAAAUCGACCGCCUGGGGAGUACGGUCGCAAGAUUAAAACUCAAAGGAAUUGACGGGGACCCGCACAAGCGGUGGAUGAUGUGGAUUAAUUCGAUGCAACGCGAAGAACCUUACCUGGUCUUGACAUGUGCGGAACCCUCCAGAGACGGAGGGGUGCCUUCGGGAGCCGUAACACAGGUGCUGCAUGGCUGUCGUCAGCUCGUGUCGUGAGAUGUUGGGUUAAGUCCCGCAACGAGCGCAACCCUUGUCAUUAGUUGCCAUCAUUAAGUUGGGCACUCUAAUGAGACUGCCGGUGACAAGCCGGAGGAAGGUGGGGAUGACGUCAAGUCCUCAUGGCCCUUAUGACCAGGGCUUCACACGUCAUACAAUGGUCGGUACAGAGGGUAGCCAAGCCGCGAGGUGGAGCCAAU